Molecule: ribosomal RNA, 478 nt
Filed under: uncultured bacterium
Lineage: Bacteria
Description: partial 16S ribosomal RNA
Rfam family: Bacterial small subunit ribosomal RNA
Source: RNAcentral
UAGGGAAUCUUCCACAAUGGACGCAAGUCUGAUGGAGCAACGCCGCGUGAGUGAAGAAGGUCUUCGGAUCGUAAAGCUCUGUUGUUGGUGAAGAAGGAUAGAGGCAGUAACUGGUCUUUAUUUGACGGUAAUCAACCAGAAAGUCACGGCUAACUACGUGCCAGCAGCCGCGGUAAUACGUAGGUGGCAAGCGUUGUCCGGAUUUAUUGGGCGUAAAGCGAGCGCAGGCGGAAUGAUAAGUCUGAUGUGAAAGCCCACGGCUCAACCGUGGAACUGCAUCGGAAACUGUCAUUCUUGAGUGCAGAAGAGGAGAGUGGAACUCCAUGUGUAGCGGUGGAAUGCGUAGAUAUAUGGAAGAACACCAGUGGCGAAGGCGGCUCUCUGGUCUGCAACUGACGCUGAGGCUCGAAGGCAUGGGUAGCGAACAGGAUUAGAUACCCUGGUAGUCCACGCCGUAAACGAUGAGCGCUAGGUGUUG